Long non-coding RNA from Syngnathoides biaculeatus (alligator pipefish), 1008 nucleotides. RefSeq lists it as uncharacterized. The record is from RefSeq and is a predicted model, not a curated record. Lineage: Eukaryota; Metazoa; Chordata; Actinopteri; Syngnathiformes; Syngnathidae. The transcript is spliced from 5 exons.
UUACGACGUCAUGAGCACGAAGCUGAUAGAUCACUUGAUUGGAACAGGUGCGUUUGUUUGAAGGGAAAGUUUGGACAAGAAACAAUGUCUGCAGCACUCCCGCCACCCUUGUGAGGAUAGGCGGCUCGGAAAAUGGACAUGGACACUCGCCUGUGAGUUAAUGAAUGUUGACAAAUCGUCGAGCUUUAUUCGUUUGGGGAGGAAAGACAGACAAAAAGGGUUUCAGUUGUGCGUUAGCAUUUAGCGCUUUUAAUAGUCGAGUGACAUCGUCACCCGUUCACGGAUGAAAACAAGACUUUCCACUCUGGUUUAGCCCCCCCGAGAGCACUUUUACGUGGCACUCUUUCUUUCUUUUUUUUACGUGGCACUCUUUCUUUCUUUUUUUUACGUGAGAGCCGGUAAAACGGGGUGAUGCUAAGCGGCUAAUGCUAACACCGCUUUGCAAUUCGAAUGAAGAAAAUGGCGGCGAUGACGUCACCAUGUUGAGGUGGAUUUGAAGAAAACAAGAAAACAAAGAGAAGGCUUUAAUGGUACAUUUGCAAAGCAUAAAGUGCGUCUGGGCCUCUACAAACGGAGCAUUAGCGGCAAUAUCCUGCCUGUUGUGGAGGCGAGCCAGUAAAUAGAGCAGCGGCGAGUGCACGUGUGACAAAAUGAGAAAAAAAAAAGAUUUGCUGAGUCACAAGGAGCUCCACGGCCUGGUCCAAAUCUCGCCGGACGUCCCGCAGCCUCUCGGCGAGAUCGGCACGGGACGCCGCAAAACCGCACGAUCGGCACUCCAGAAGCUCCUCGGAAACCAGAUGCCACAUAACGGGAAGUGGUCCGAUCACUUUAGGGGUGUCAGGAUCCAAUCAUUUCAGAAUCUAUUAUCUUACAGAUGGUCUCCUGUCGUCUAACAGUGGCUCAGCAAAGUUAUUAGGAAAUUUUCCUCACCCCCGCCAUAGAUCACUUACAAGUGAAGCGUGGCAAUCGGCGCACAGAAGUCCAGAUCCUCCAUCUCUGCUAAUUCCC